Molecule: transfer RNA, 69 nt
Filed under: Ictidomys tridecemlineatus (thirteen-lined ground squirrel)
Lineage: Eukaryota; Metazoa; Chordata; Mammalia; Rodentia; Sciuridae
Description: Spermophilus tridecemlineatus (thirteen-lined ground squirrel) tRNA
Rfam family: tRNA
About the family: Transfer RNA (tRNA) molecules are approximately 80 nucleotides in length. Their secondary structure includes four short double-helical elements and three loops (D, anti-codon, and T loops). Further hydrogen bonds mediate the characteristic L-shaped molecular structure. tRNAs have two regions of fundamental functional importance: the anti-codon, which is responsible for specific mRNA codon recognition, and the 3' end, to which the tRNAs corresponding amino acid is attached (by aminoacyl-tRNA synthetases). tRNAs cope with the degeneracy of the genetic code in two manners: having more than one tRNA (with a specific anti-codon) for a particular amino acid; and 'wobble' base-pairing, i.e. permitting non-standard base-pairing at the 3rd anti-codon position.
Source: Rfam by way of RNAcentral
GGGUUUGUGGCUCAGUGGUGGAGCGUUUGCCUUGCAUGCAUGAAGCUCUGGGUUCGAUCCUCAGCCCCA